Molecule: transfer RNA, 70 nt
Filed under: Parascaptor leucura (white-tailed mole)
Lineage: Eukaryota; Metazoa; Chordata; Mammalia; Eulipotyphla; Talpidae
Description: tRNA-Lys
Source: RNAcentral
CAUUAAGAAGCUAAUCUUAAGCGUUAACCUUUUAAGUUGAAGAAUGGGAGCCCAGACCUCCCCUUAAUGA